AUACUUUUGUAGUUCAUAGUGUGAUGAUUGUGUGUUCACACUUGUAUGAGAUGUCCCUCCCUCAAACCUUGUUGUGCCACCCACACGUUACUCAUCUGAUA
Molecule: small nucleolar RNA, 101 nt
Organism: Saimiri boliviensis boliviensis (Bolivian squirrel monkey)
Lineage: Eukaryota; Metazoa; Chordata; Mammalia; Primates; Cebidae
Product: small nucleolar RNA U13
Source: RefSeq, a predicted model, not a curated record